GCCUUGCUAUAAUAUUUGUAAGGUGAGACCUGCUCAAUGGCUACAAAUAAAAAAUAAUAGUAGUUAAAUAGCCGCGGUAACUCUGACCGUGAUAAAGUAGCAUAAUCACUCGUCAUUUAAUUGAUGACUGGAAUGAAUGGUUAUACGAAUCCUAAACUGUCUCAUUAGUAAUAUUAAUAAAGUUGAAUUAAUAGUGAAGAUGCUAUUUAUUAAUUGUAAGACGAAAAGACCCUAUUGAGCUUUACUAAAUACCUAAAUCUAAAAAAUUACACCACCAGUUAUUAAUAUUUAGGCUAACUAGUUUGGUUGGGGCGACCACCUCUAAAACAGUAUCAGAGGAAAUCUUAAGGUAAUUAAUAAUAUAUAAAAGCCUAACUGCAUACUUACCAAUUAACCAGUUACUAUGGGUAGGAUAUAAUGACCCGUUAAAAGAAUCUUAAAAAUUAACGACUAAGAAAAAAGUUACCGUAGGGAUAACAGGGUAAUAUUUCUGAAGAGUUCUUAUCGAUAGAAAUGUUUGCC
RNAcentral lists this ribosomal RNA (522 nucleotides) under Catostylus sp. MM. Its description in RNAcentral is "partial large subunit ribosomal RNA". It matches the Rfam family "Bacterial large subunit ribosomal RNA", at positions 1820 to 2522 of the family's 2925-position model. The record is from RNAcentral. Lineage: Eukaryota; Metazoa; Cnidaria; Scyphozoa; Rhizostomeae; Catostylidae.